RNA transcript from Zingiber officinale, 1929 nucleotides. It is a transcript of the gene named N-acylphosphatidylethanolamine synthase-like, with no coding region annotated. The record is from RefSeq and is a predicted model, not a curated record. The transcript is spliced from 6 exons. NCBI's taxonomy places the organism in Eukaryota, Viridiplantae, Streptophyta, Magnoliopsida, Zingiberales, Zingiberaceae.
GGCUUUUGGUCUACCAGCCCUAGUCUGAUUAUUGACUGAAUAGCUUCCCCUCCCGACGUCCAUCGAACACCGCAGCCGUCGUGGUCAAGAGGAGACUUCCGAGUCGACCGACCUCCUUCUCCCUGUAGAUCGAGGGCCGCCGGCGACGGACUAUCGAGCUCGGCUGCGGGAUGGGCGGAGGAAGGAGGAGGAUAAUGGAGUGGGCGGGGCGGGCGGAGCACCUGGGCGGGAUCCCGCGGGCGCUGACGAUCUUGGCCGUGGGAGCCUUCGCAAAGACCGUCACUUGCUUCCUCAACUCCACCUCCGUACACAACCCUCAAACACUCAUCCGCCUCGUCAAGUCCCGCCCUACCGGCGUGCCCCUCCUCACCGUCAGCAACCACAUGUCAACAUUGGAUGACCCACUUAUAUGGGGUUUUAAGGGUUUCCCAACUAUGGAUGCAAAACUUGCAAGGUGGGUUCUGGCAGCAGAGGACAUAUGCUUCAAAAAUAAACUUCUCUCUUACAUGUUUCGCAUUGGAAAAUGCAUCCCAAUAAACAGGGGUGGAGGAAUUUAUCAAGAACAUAUGAAUGAAGCUCUUGAAGUGUUAAGUCAUGGAGGUUGGUUGCAUACAUUUCCUGAAGGAAAAGUGUCCCAACUUAGUGCUCCUAUUAAGCGUCUGAAAUGGGGAACUGCUAGUCUCAUUGUUCGUGCACCAGUCACCCCUAUUGUUUUACCUAUUGUUCACUCUGGUUUUGAGAAGCUUCUGAGACAUCUUCUCUGCCUUCUGGGAACAUUAGCACAUGCCCUGCAAGCAUCAUCAAUUCAUCCAUUCAGAAUGAGUAUGACAAAGGGAGGAGCCCACCAGCCACUCAGGUGCUUCACUAUCUGUACAAUUGAACCCCAUUCCUUAUUGCAUGAAUCAUGCAUGUGCAUGUGUGUGAAACAUGAAGAAAACAGUCUAGGCACAUGCAGUGUCUUAAUCGUGGAUUUCUUCCUGAUGCCAUACAUGUAUUUCAGUUUAAGGAAAUCUCUGAUUAUUGAAUAAUUUCCUCUCGAUUGAAAUUUCUUUUCUUCCAAGUGAUCUUUGAUGAGGUAAUGUCAUUAAUGAGGAAGUGGCUUUUUUCUUAAAUAUCUUUUCUGAGCAAUUUUGAGGAAAUGUUGGCAGGUUUAAAAGGAGGUAGCUGGCUGUUGUUUCUUUCUCCAAGCUCAAGUUCUGGGUAUCCAUCACUCAAAAUAGUCAUGGAAAGUAAUUGCUCACUAGCCACCAUCAGUGUCAUGCGGGAGGAGCUAACUUCAUGCUUUUGGAGUUUAUCUCAAAUGAUCUCAUGCUACCAGCAGCGGUUGGUUUCUGAUAGGUGUGAAUGCUGCACAGUGUUGAUAGAAUGGGUUGAUCGGCCGAGUCGUACGAGCGGAUGCAGCAGAUCAGAAAGGCCGAUCGGGCAGAAAGGUUGAUUGAGAGGACAGACAGACCUGGUGAGAGGCAGGCCGGACGAUCUGGUGUCGGGCGGGCAGACAAGCAGGUCGGGCGAAGCAGACCGACUGAGCGAGAGGCAAACUAGGCAGACAGGUCGGGCGAAGCAUAUCGGCCGAGCGAGAGGUAGACUGGGCGGACAGACAGGUUUGGCGAAAGGCAGAUCGGGCAAACAGAGAGGUUGGCUGGGCGGAUAAAGAAAUCGACCGAGAAAAUUGACCGAGACGUGCGACUAACACAGUUUUCUUGAAACAUAUUUGCCCCACCUUCGACAGUGUUUCGAGGUUUACUCGGGUCGUCUAUUUUUCAUGAUAGAAUGGUUGAUCAUGAUUCCACCAAGCACUGUUAAUUGUUCCACUUUGACAAAUUUUGUCUCAAUCGAUCUGGCAUUCGACGUGCACUGGUCGUGCCCGCACACGAGUCAACAUGGUUCAAUGCAAAUCUGAGCUCUGGAUUUGUACCCCUUGCGCAUCCA